RNAcentral lists this ribosomal RNA (819 nucleotides) under uncultured bacterium. RNAcentral's name for it is "bacterial SSU rRNA". It matches the Rfam family "Bacterial small subunit ribosomal RNA", at positions 8 to 817 of the family's 1533-position model. The record is from RNAcentral.
AGAGUUUGAUCCUGGCUCAGAUUGAACGCUGGCGGCAUGCCUUACACAUGCAAGUCGAACGGCAGCACGGGAGCAAUCCCGGUGGCGAGUGGCGAACGGGUGAGUAAUAUAUCGGAACGUGCCCAGUCGUGGGGGAUAACGCAGCGAAAGCUGUGCUAAUACCGCAUACGAUCUACGGAUGAAAGCGGGGGACUCAGCAAUGAGCCUCGCGCGAUUGGAGCGGCCGAUAUCAGAUUAGCUAGUUGGUGGGGUAAAAGCCCACCAAGGCGACGAUCUGUAGCUGGUCUGAGAGGACGACCAGCCACACUGGAACUGAGACACGGUCCAGACUCCUACGGGAGGCAGCAGUGGGGAAUUUUGGACAAUGGGCGCAAGCCUGAUCCAGCAAUGCCGCGUGCAGGAUGAAGGCCUUCGGGUUGUAAACUGCUUUUGUACGGAACGAAGAGGUCUGCCCUAAUACGGCGGGCUCAUGACGGUACCGUAAGGAUAAGCACCGGCUAACUACGUGCCAGCAGCCGCGGUAAUACGUAGGGUGCGAGCGUUAAUCGGAAUUACUGGGCGUAAAGCGUGCGCAGGCGGUUAUAUAAGACAGAUGUGAAAUCCCCGGGCUCAACCUGGGACCUGCAUUUGUGACUGUAUAGCUAGAGUACGGUAGAGGGGGAUGGAAUUCCGCGUGUAGCAGUGAAAUGCGUAGAUAUGCGGAGGAACACCGAUGGCGAAAGCAAUCCCCUGGACCUGUACUGACGCUCAUGCACGAAAGCGUGGGGAGCAAACAGGAUUAGAUACCCUGGGUAGUCCACGCCCUAAACGAUGUCAACU